RNAcentral lists this long non-coding RNA (510 nucleotides) under Hordeum vulgare. RNAcentral describes it as "long non-coding RNA (HVUL_LNC001260)". The record is from RNAcentral. Lineage: Eukaryota; Viridiplantae; Streptophyta; Magnoliopsida; Poales; Poaceae.
UUCUCGGAUGACCCUCGACUUCCACACCAACAAGAAGGUGCUCGAGGAGGUGUCCAUCUUGCAGUCGAAGCGCCUCCGCAACAAGGUGGCCGGCUUCACCACCCAUCUGAUGCGCCGCAUCCAGCGCGGCCCCGUCCGCGGCAUCUCCCUCAAGCUGCAGGAGGAGGAGCGCGAGCGCCGCAUGGACUUCGUCCCUGAGAAGUCGGCUCUUGAGGUCGACGAGAUCCGCGUCGACAAGGAGACGAUGGACAUGCUGGCGUUCCUCGGCAUGGCCGAUCUCCCUGGCGUCGAGCGCGCUCCCGAGGUCACCGCGUCCGCCGCCCCCUUCCGCCAGCCGUACAACGGACCCCGCGGUGGCAACCGCGCCUAGGUUCCCCCGCAUCGUCGCCGUACCCCUAUCAUGCUUUAUAAGUUUUUAUUAGAUCUGUUACUUGUGGCAAGUACUAUUUUGAACUCAGCUCUUAAGUUCGAGGUGUUUUGAUCUGCGUAUGGUGGACAUGAUCUGUUUAU